CAAGUCCCACCCGGCCAAGGGUAGCCGCCAGCCGGUAGCGAGUCUUGCGCAGCAUCGGGCAACCGGCGCUGUGAAGCGUAGACAGUGAGUGAGCAGGCCGUGUGAUAGAGCACCGAAAUGUUGGAAUCGUGGCUGCCGACAUUCUGCCCGACGUGGAAGGCAACACCGACCCGCUGAAAUGGCUUGGCGGAAAGGAGCCACCGGUGUCAGAGAGCA
Molecule: non-coding RNA, 216 nt
Filed under: Halomonas sp. A11-A
Lineage: Bacteria; Pseudomonadati; Pseudomonadota; Gammaproteobacteria; Oceanospirillales; Halomonadaceae
Source: RNAcentral